Molecule: transfer RNA, 75 nt
Filed under: Actinomycetes bacterium
Lineage: Bacteria; Bacillati; Actinomycetota; Actinomycetes
Also listed under: 3 other names
Description: Actinobacteria bacterium tRNA-Val
Rfam family: tRNA
About the family: Transfer RNA (tRNA) molecules are approximately 80 nucleotides in length. Their secondary structure includes four short double-helical elements and three loops (D, anti-codon, and T loops). Further hydrogen bonds mediate the characteristic L-shaped molecular structure. tRNAs have two regions of fundamental functional importance: the anti-codon, which is responsible for specific mRNA codon recognition, and the 3' end, to which the tRNAs corresponding amino acid is attached (by aminoacyl-tRNA synthetases). tRNAs cope with the degeneracy of the genetic code in two manners: having more than one tRNA (with a specific anti-codon) for a particular amino acid; and 'wobble' base-pairing, i.e. permitting non-standard base-pairing at the 3rd anti-codon position.
Source: RNAcentral
GGGCGCUUAGCUCAGGGGGAGAGCGCUUCCUUGACACGGAAGAGGUCAGAGGUUCAAAUCCUCUAGCGCCCACCA